CGUGUGGUUCUAUUUUGUUGGUUUCUAGGACCGCCGUAAUGAUUAAUAGGGACAGUCGGGGGCAUCAGUAUUCAAUUGUCAGAGGUGAAAUUCUUGGAUUUAUUGAAGACUAACUACUGCGAAAGCAUUUGCCAAGGAUGUUUUCAUUAAUCAGGAACGAAAGUUAGGGGAUCGAAGACGAUCAGAUACCGUCGUAGUCUUAACCAUAAACUAUGCCGACUAGGGAUCGGACGGUGUUAUUUUUUGACCCGUUCGGCACCUUACGAGAAAUCAAAGUGCUUGGGCUCCAGGGGGAGUAUGGUCGCAAGGCUGAAACUUAAAGAAAUUGACGGAAGGGCACCACCAGGGGUGGAGCCUGCGGCUAAAUUUGACUCAACACGG
RNAcentral lists this ribosomal RNA (381 nucleotides) under uncultured fungus. Its description in RNAcentral is "SSU rRNA". It matches the Rfam family "Eukaryotic small subunit ribosomal RNA", at positions 827 to 1208 of the family's 1831-position model. The record is from RNAcentral. Lineage: Eukaryota; Fungi.